This is a long non-coding RNA of Phodopus roborovskii (desert hamster), 197 nucleotides long. RefSeq lists it as uncharacterized. Lineage: Eukaryota; Metazoa; Chordata; Mammalia; Rodentia; Cricetidae. The transcript has 2 exons. The record is from RefSeq and is a predicted model, not a curated record.
ACACACACACACACACACACACACACCACAAAACAGUGAGAAGCCUGAGCAGACAGAAGACGUCAUUGCUCAGGAGGGGAGACUGAUCAGCAAGAAUUUAAACUGCUUCAGCACGACUUGAACUUCCAACAACAUACAGAGUAGUUUGGGGUGACUGCUUGCCUAGUUUAUGUUUGUAAAGCUGUUUUAUAGAUCUA